GACGAACGCUGGCGGCGUGCUUAACACAUGCAAGUCGAACGAUGAAGCGGCCAGCUUGCUGGUGGUGGAUUAGUGGCGAACGGGUGAGUAACACGUGAGCAAUCUGCCCUCCACAUCGGGAUACCCCCCGGAAACGGGAGCUAAUACCGGAUACGACCACUUCAGGCAUCUGAUGGUGGUGGAAAGUUCCGGCGGUGGAGGAUGAGCUCGCGGCCUAUCAGCUUGUUGGUGGGGUAACGGCCCACCAAGGCUUCGACGGGUAGCCGGCCUGAGAGGGUGACCGGCCACACUGGGACUGAGACACGGCCCAGACUCCUACGGGAGGCAGCAGUGGGGAAUAUUGGACAAUGGGCGAAAGCCUGAUCCAGCAACGCCGCGUGAGGGAUGACGGCCUUCGGGUUGUAAACCUCUUUCAGUAGGGACGAAGCGCAAGUGACGGUACCUACAGAAGAAGCACCGGCCAACUACGUGCCAGCAGCCGCAG
Molecule: ribosomal RNA, 484 nt
Filed under: uncultured bacterium
Lineage: Bacteria
Description: bacterial SSU rRNA
Rfam family: Bacterial small subunit ribosomal RNA
Source: RNAcentral